RNAcentral lists this ribosomal RNA (492 nucleotides) under uncultured bacterium. Its description in RNAcentral is "partial 16S ribosomal RNA". It matches the Rfam family "Bacterial small subunit ribosomal RNA", at positions 29 to 507 of the family's 1533-position model. The record is from RNAcentral.
AGUGAACGCUGGCGGUAGGCCUAACACAUGCAAGUCGAACGGCAGCACAGUAAGAGCUUGCUCUUACGGGUGGCGAGUGGCGGACGGGUGAGGAAUACAUCGGAAUCUACUUUUUCGUGGGGGAUAACGGAGGGAAACUUACGCUAAUACCGCAUACGACCUACGGGUGAAAGCAGGGGAUCUUCGGACCUUUCGCGAUUGAAUGAGCCGAUGUCGGAUUAGCUAGUUGGUGAGGUAAAGGCCCACCAAGGCAACGAUCCGUAGCAGAUCUGAGAGGAUGAUCAGCCACACUGGAACUGAGACACGGUCCAGACUCCUACGGGAGGCAGCAGUGGGGAAUCUUCGACAAUGGGCGCAAGCCUGAUGCAGCCAUACCGCGUGAGUGAAGAAGGUCUUCGGGUUGUAAAGCCCUUUUGUUGGGAAAGAAAAGAAGCAGAUUAAUCCCCCGAUGUUCUGACGGUACCCAAAGAAUAAGCACCGGCUAACUUCGUG